This 211-nucleotide long non-coding RNA is filed under the name Eucalyptus grandis. Its description in RNAcentral is "long non-coding RNA (EGRA_LNC005278)". The record is from RNAcentral. Lineage: Eukaryota; Viridiplantae; Streptophyta; Magnoliopsida; Myrtales; Myrtaceae.
UGGGUCCAUGCUAAUCCGACCGGCCGAGGACGUCGACCGUUUCACCCUUAGGCUGCCUGCCGAGGUAAGGAAGCAAUUGAUGGACCGGCCAGGGCCAGUCCUGUCCCUGGAAGGUUGCCUGACGCAAGGAUACCGAUGCGACGGCAAGGGGAGCAGCCGAGGGAGGGACUUCAGGAGGCCGGACCGGCUCAACUGGGCAGCCAAGUCGGAG